UGCGUAGGCGGUUUGUUAAGUCAUUUGUAAAAGAUCUCAGCUCAACUGAGUAAGGCGAAUGAAACUGGCAGACUUGAAUACGGUAGAGGUAAGUGGAAUUCCAUGUGUAGCGGUGGAAUGCGUAGAUAUAUGGAGGAACACCAAUGGCGAAGGCAACUUACUGGGCCGGAAUUGACGCUGAGGCACGAAAGCGUGGGGAGCAAACAGGAUUAGAUACCCUGGUAGUCA
Molecule: ribosomal RNA, 228 nt
Filed under: uncultured bacterium
Lineage: Bacteria
Description: partial 16S ribosomal RNA
Rfam family: Bacterial small subunit ribosomal RNA
Source: RNAcentral